UUCUGAGGGGGAGGACAGGGGUAAGGGAGACAGGGAGAAAGGGGGUAGGAGAAAGGAGAAAGGGGGUGGGAGAAAGGAGAAAGGGGGUAGGAGAAAGGAGAGGAAGGCUGGGAGAAAGGAGAAAAAGUUUGAGAAAGGAGAAAAAAUAAAAUAUCUCUCCUUUUAAAAAAAUUUCUAAUAUUUCAAGAAAAAAUAUCUCAAAAGGAGAUGUUUUAUUCUAAUGGGAGAAAGGAGAACGGGGGUAGGAGAAAGGAGAAGAGGGAUGGGAGAAGGGAGAAGGGUACCCCCCUGUCCUCCCCCUCCCUUCU
RNAcentral lists this long non-coding RNA (308 nucleotides) under Mytilus galloprovincialis (Mediterranean mussel). Lineage: Eukaryota; Metazoa; Mollusca; Bivalvia; Mytilida; Mytilidae. The record is from RNAcentral.